This 246-nucleotide unclassified non-coding RNA is filed under the name fungal sp. RNAcentral's name for it is "partial internal transcribed spacer region". The stretch from base 1 to 46 matches the Rfam family "Eukaryotic small subunit ribosomal RNA", at positions 1786 to 1831 of the family's 1831-position model. Lineage: Eukaryota; Fungi. The record is from RNAcentral.
AAGUCGUAACAAGGUUUCCGUAGGUGAACCUGCGGAAGGAUCAUUAACAAUCCAAACAGUGGAUUUUAUCCGCUACAAACCUCUUGUGAACUGUUUUAUAUAUUGCCGGUAGGGUCGCAUAGCCCUGGCUGCAUCUUACCGGGAAGGAAAGUUUGUAUUCAAACUUUUUGUUGUCCUCAAUCUAUAUGCCUAGCCUGAAUUAAAAGUAAACCUUUACAACUUUUGACAAUGGAUCUCUAGGCUCUC